GAUCUGCGCAGCCAUGGGACCCUUGUCGUCGCAUGCGCCGCGGCCGUAGAUAGUCGAGCCCUCAACGCGCA
Aspergillus fumigatus Af293 is the source of this 71-nucleotide non-coding RNA. The record is from the annotation of a RefSeq genome assembly. NCBI's taxonomy places the organism in Eukaryota, Fungi, Ascomycota, Eurotiomycetes, Eurotiales, Aspergillaceae.